AGGUAACAUCAAAUCGUACCCCAAACCGACACAGGUGGUCAGGUAGAGAAUACCAAGGCGCUUGAGAGAACUCGGGUGAAGGAACUAGGCAAAAUGGUGCCGUAACUUCGGGAGAAGGCACGCUGAUAUGUAGGUGAAGCGACCUGCUCGUGGAGCUGAAAUCAGUCGAAGAUACCAGCUGGCUGCAACUGUUUAUUAAAAACACAGCACUGUGCAAACACGAAAGUGGACGUAUACGGUGUGACGCCUGCCCGGUGCCGGAAGGUUAAUU
Molecule: ribosomal RNA, 271 nt
Filed under: Escherichia marmotae
Lineage: Bacteria; Pseudomonadati; Pseudomonadota; Gammaproteobacteria; Enterobacterales; Enterobacteriaceae
Description: partial 23S ribosomal RNA
Rfam family: Bacterial large subunit ribosomal RNA
Source: RNAcentral